CGCAUCUGUGCAUGCAGCAUAUCAAUAAGCGGAGGAAAAGAAACUAACAAGGAUUCCCCUAGUAACGGCGAGUGAAGCGGGAAGAGCUCAAAUUUGAGAUCUUAAAGGGUUUCCCUUUACGAAUUGUAGUUUAAAGAAGUGUUUUCUGUUGAGGUUUUGGUAAAAGUUCUUUGGAAUAGGACAUCAUAGAGGGUGAGAAUCCCGUAUUUGACCUUUACUUUCAACUUUGUGAUACACUUUCAAAGAGUCGGAUUGUUUGGGAAUGCAGUCCAAAAUGGGUGGUAAAUUUCAUCUAAAGCUAAAUAUUGGCGAGAGACCGAUAGCGAACAAGUACCGUGAGGGAAAGAUGAAAAGAACUUUGAAAAGAGAGUUAAACAGUACGUGAAAUUGUCAAAAGGGAAGCGUUUGACACCAGUGUUGUUUUUCUGAAAAUCAAUUAAAGAACUGUUUAUGCUAAGUUGUUUAGACUUUAUCAGCUAACUGUUUAGUUUUGAGCUUUUCUUUAAUGCACUUUUCAGUUAACAAGUCAACAUCAAUUUCUUUUGCUGUAAAAAAGCUUGAGGAAGGUGGCUUGAGAUUCGUCUUAAGUGUUUAUAGCCUCUUGCCUAUGCAGUCGGAGAGAUUGAGGUCUGCAGCGUAGAUCCUUCGGGGCUAAAUGCAUUUGUGCUAAGUUAUAACAUUUUAUAGACAACUUGUUGACUAUGAUUUGUCUUGUAGCUUACUCGCUUAUGUUAUUUUACCUACGCUUAGGAUGUUGAACGCGCACAGAGUCUC
Molecule: ribosomal RNA, 774 nt
Filed under: uncultured Neocallimastigales
Lineage: Eukaryota; Fungi; Neocallimastigomycota; Neocallimastigomycetes; Neocallimastigales
Description: partial large subunit ribosomal RNA
Rfam family: Eukaryotic large subunit ribosomal RNA
Source: RNAcentral